CGAAUUGCCUGGCCAUAUGACCUUCAAUGCAGUUUCUUCUUCACCAGUAAAAUCAGAUUGUAGCCUCCCCAGGUCAAAAAAAGACCAACCAACAGAAUCACUAACUGCUCAAGAAGAAGAUGACGCUUUUUGUUUAUGUUGGUGGCGAUGAAGGAAAAGAUUCUAAGAAAACGGUGAGACUUGAGUUAAAGCGCAGGUACGGG
This 203-nucleotide unclassified non-coding RNA is filed under the name Hevea brasiliensis (rubber tree). The record is from RNAcentral. Lineage: Eukaryota; Viridiplantae; Streptophyta; Magnoliopsida; Malpighiales; Euphorbiaceae.